This 24-nucleotide non-coding RNA is filed under the name Arabidopsis thaliana (thale cress). The record is from RNAcentral. Lineage: Eukaryota; Viridiplantae; Streptophyta; Magnoliopsida; Brassicales; Brassicaceae.
ACAAAAAUGAUGAAAUUGGCGCCA